This 250-nucleotide ribosomal RNA is filed under the name uncultured bacterium. RNAcentral's name for it is "partial 16S ribosomal RNA". It matches the Rfam family "Bacterial small subunit ribosomal RNA", at positions 779 to 1028 of the family's 1533-position model. The record is from RNAcentral.
UAGAUACCCUGGUAGUCCACGCCGUAAACGAUGUCUACUAGCCGUUGGGGUCCUUGAGACUUUAGUGGCGCAGUUAACGCGAUAAGUAGACCGCCUGGGGAGUACGGCCGCAAGGUUAAAACUCAAAUGAAUUGACGGGGGCCCGCACAAGCGGUGGAGCAUGUGGUUUAAUUCGAUGCAACGCGAAGAACCUUACCUGGUCUUGACAUAGUGAGAAUCCUGCAGAGAUGCGGGAGUGCCUUCGGGAAUU